This 340-nucleotide ribosomal RNA is filed under the name uncultured bacterium. RNAcentral's name for it is "bacterial SSU rRNA". It matches the Rfam family "Bacterial small subunit ribosomal RNA", at positions 29 to 399 of the family's 1533-position model. The record is from RNAcentral.
AACGAACGCUGGCGGCAGACCUAACACAUGCAAGUCGAACGCCCCGCAAGGGGAGUGGCGCACGGGUGAGUAACACGUGGGAACAUGCCUUUCAGUUCGGGAUAACAGCGGGAAACUGCUGCUAAUACCGGAUAUUCUCCGAGGAGGAAAGAUUUAUCGCUGAAAGAUUGGCCCGCGUUAGAUUAGGUAGUUGGUGGGGUAAUGGCCUACCAAGCCUACGAUCUAUAGCUGUUCUGAGAGGAAGAUCAGCCACACUGGAACUGAGACACGGUCCAGACUCCUACGGGAGGCAGCAGUGGGGAUAUUGGACAAUGGGCGCAAGCCUGAUCCAGCCAUGCCG